ACAAGGGGAUAGGGAUUUAGCAGGGAUGAUUAAGUUAAGGACCUUGACAUGGGGAGAUUUUCCAUGAUUAUCAAGUGGACUCAAUCUAAUACAUGAAUUCUCAGAGGUGGAGAUCCUUUCUUGGCUCUGAUCAGAGGGACUUGUCAUGAAGAAGACUGGUCAGAGAGAUGCAGAUUUGCUUCAAAGAUGGAAGGAGGGGGCCACUUGCCAAGGAAUGUUGGUGGCCUCUAGCAGCUGGAAAAGGCCAAUGGGUUCUUCCUCAGGGCCUCUAGAAAGGAAUCUAGACCCACCAACACUUGAAUCUUUGUCCAGUGUCCUACGUCUGACCCACUAAACUGUAAGAUAAUACAUUUGUGUAUGCCACUAAGUUGGUGGUAAUUUGUUACAGCAGCAAUACAGAACAAUUGCAGUUGAUCACGUGGUUAUCUUAGUAUCUCAUGAAUAUUCUACAAUAAUAUAAGCAACACAUUUAAAGAGCCUUCUUAAGGAUAUAUGUUUGUAUAGUGCUUCUCAGCAGAGACUCUUGGAAGCUGUCAUUAGACUUUGUGGAGUGAAGAGCACAGUGUUGGCUAGAGAGAGGGGAUGUUCUUCACUAAACUGAAGUUCUAGGAGCACAGAUUGAUGAUUUAUUCUUCCUUGUUGUUAAAGAUUAUUGAGUUUAGGAUUGGUAGCUGUAAAGUGCUUAUUCUGAUGGCUGGCACACAUUGGCUGUUUAACCAAUGGUCAUAAAGAUAAAGAUUUUUAAACUGUUGUGUUUCAAUUAUUUGGCAAAACUAUCUUUUUUUUUUUUUUUUUUUUUUGUCUUUUUGCCAUUUCUUGGGCCACUCCCGCUGCAUAUGGAGGUUCCCAGGCCAGGGGUCAAAUUGGAGCUGUAGCCACCGGCCUACUUCAGAGCCACAGCAAGGUGGGAUUCGAGCUGCAUCUGCGACCUACACCACAGCUCACGGCAACACUGGAUUCUUAACCCACUGAGCAAGGCCAGGGAUCAAACCUGCAACCUCAUGGUUCUUAGUCAGAUUCGUUAACCACUGUACCACGAAGGGAACUCCAAAACUAUCUCUCUUAUUAGCAUACAUAGCUGGACACAUGGGCAAAAAUACAAUUUGUCUCCUGUGAAAGCUAAACCCUCUUCUUCAAAAAGAGAGAGGUAAAAUCUAUAGUAGUGGGAGACAGCCUUGUCGAGUAAUUAGAGUCAAGCCUUGGAGUGAGAUUGCUUUUAUUUGAAUCCCAGUUCCACCACUAAUUACUUUAUAACUUCAUUGUUUUCACCCCUGAAGUGGGUUAAUCAUAUGGACUUCCAUAUGGACUUCUAAUUAUUGUCUGUAUUAGAAUUAUAUGAGGUAAUGCCUAGAAAGCUUCUAGCCAUAGCAAUUACUCAUUAAAUAUUAGGCAUAGAUAGCUCAAGGAACUUUAUGAUUAAAUCUUUGAUCAAAAAUAAUAAUUUUAAUAAAAACUUUUCCAACUUACAAACCCUUUGAUUGACCAUAUAUCAUUUUACUCUUUCAACAUCCUAGAGAUGGGUGGUGAUAAUUCACUUUUUAAAGAUUAGGAAAUUGAGGAUCAGUGAGCUAAAGUUACUUAUUCACGAUCCCAGUAAGCAAACAUGGGUUCUAACCAAGUCUUCUAACUCCAGUGCCUCUAUUCUAAUUUAUCAAUUCAGCAAAUUUCUUUACUGUGACCUGUGACACUAGACAGUUUGCUGGGAUGCAAUCAUCACUAAAACAGACACAGUCUCUCUAACCACAGGACCUUUAAAUGUAGCAGGCCUUUAGACAUUAAAACAUUAUUUUGGUGAGUAUUAGCAAAGAAAGUUCAUGAUUGUCCUUAGAGACUAUAAGGGAAACCAAGCCUUCCUAGAAGUUUUUUUUUUUUUCUUUCCUGAAGACAUAACAUUUAAUUGGAAGGAAAAGUGAAACCUAGGUAGGCUAUAGAGAAGGAGGAAUAGGAAUUCCACAUGGUAGAAAUCUCAUGAGUAAGAGCCUGGAGGCUGAAAAAGGAAAUGAUGUCCAAUGUGGUUUGAGGGGAUUGAGUAAGGGGGAGAGGGUGUGGGAGGGUUUGGGAGAUGAGAAAAUGCAUCCUGGAUCUCACUGGCCCCGAUCUUAAGGACUCAGGACAUUUGUUCAUGGACUGCAGAAGCUGCCAAUGGAAUAGAGUGAUGGAUUUACAUUUGAAAACAUAACUGGCAGAGGGGAUUCAUUAUAGAGGAGUCAUGCUUCUAUGGAAGAGGAGGGAAUGGAAGAGAAGAGACCCCAGGGCAACAUCCUGAAGAACCCUCCAUUAUGAGUGUGGAGGAAAUUAUUUGAAAUUACAGCUGGUCCAUCCCACCUCUCAACUGGCAGAGUCAACACUAACCUUGAAAUUGGUAGAGAAGAUAGCAGACUGCUUCCUGCAGACAAGAGGAAAAACAAUUUUUUAAUUGUAGUUUCUAACCCAAAGGCCUCUUCCAAAGACUGCUUGGCUGAAUUAUAUAGAAACUUAUUAAUAAACAGAAAUUGUCUGCAAAAACUAUCUAGAGCUAUAGAACUGUUUAGUCAGAGGAACUUUUUUUUUUUUUUCUAUUCAAUACAAAACAGGUAUUGUCUUGGAGAGUAUUUAUAUCUCCUGAUGUACUUGAUAUGUAACGUACUGAUACUACAGGUUAUUGGUCUAACUGUGGAAGGCCCUGCAGUUUAACUUAUGCCCAACUCGCUCCUGGGACACUGUGGGAAUAAGUGUUUGUUUGCAAGCAAAAUACGGAGGUUGUGGGAGUGGUUAUUUCCUUUGGCAGUACCAUUGGCAUUUAUGGAGGAGACCAAAAAUGGAAGAUGAAACCACUGUAUUAAAAAAUUCAGUCAUAAAAAAAGAAUCAAAUAAUUCCAUCGCAGCAACAUGGAUGGACCUAGAGAUCAUCAUACUAAGUGAAGUUAGUGAAAGACAAACAUCAUAUGAUAUCACUUAUAUGUUGAAUCGGAAAAAAAAAAGGAUACAAAGGAACUUAUUUUCAGAAUAGAAGCAGACUGGCAGACUCUGAAAAAACAUUUCCAAAGGGGACAGGUUGUGGGGGGAUGGGGAUGAACUGGGGUUUGGGAUUGGCAUAUGCCCACUGAGGUAUAUGGAAUGAUUGACCAACGGGAACCUGUUGUCUAGCACAGAGAACUCUACCUAAUAUUCCAUGAUAAUCUAUGUGGGAAGAGAACCUGAAAGUGAAUGGAUGAAGGUACAUGUAUAUAUAACUGAAUCACGUUGUUGUACAGCAGAUAUAAUCACAACAUUGUA
RNAcentral lists this long non-coding RNA (3255 nucleotides) under Sus scrofa (pig). RNAcentral describes it as "lncRNA (ENSSSCG00065000987.1)". The record is from RNAcentral. Lineage: Eukaryota; Metazoa; Chordata; Mammalia; Artiodactyla; Suidae.